RNAcentral lists this microRNA (21 nucleotides) under Sarcophilus harrisii (Tasmanian devil). Its description in RNAcentral is "Sha-Mir-12475-P20b_3p* (star (passenger))". The record is from RNAcentral. Lineage: Eukaryota; Metazoa; Chordata; Mammalia; Dasyuromorphia; Dasyuridae.
CAAUGUGGUUCAGAAUGUUGU